CGACCCGCCAUAAACAGGUUUGGGUUUGGCCUAAACAGGUUCGGGUCGUAAACAGGUUGACCCAUUUAACCUGUUUAUUAAUUGGGUCGGAUACGGGUUUUAGAUGUUUAACCCGUUUAACCCGUUUAAUAUGUUUAACUGUUGGGCUGAUAGAAUAUAAGGGCCACAGCCCAUAAGGCUCAGCCGCCCAAGGCCGGCCCAACCUCCCGCCGCAUGGGCCACAGGCCCACAGCCCGCACCGCACUCGGGCUUCAACUUUUCAC
This 263-nucleotide long non-coding RNA is filed under the name Phoenix dactylifera (date palm). Its description in RNAcentral is "long non-coding RNA (PDAC_LNC007694)". Lineage: Eukaryota; Viridiplantae; Streptophyta; Magnoliopsida; Arecales; Arecaceae. The record is from RNAcentral.